RNAcentral lists this ribosomal RNA (485 nucleotides) under uncultured bacterium. RNAcentral describes it as "partial 16S ribosomal RNA". It matches the Rfam family "Bacterial small subunit ribosomal RNA", at positions 30 to 507 of the family's 1533-position model. The record is from RNAcentral.
UUGAACGCUGGCGGCAUGCCUUACACAUGCAAGUCGAACGGCAGCACGGGUGCUUGCACCUGGUGGCGAGUGGCGAACGGGUGAGUAAUACAUCGGAACAUGUCCUGUAGUGGGGGAUAGCCCGGCGAAAGCCGGAUUAAUACCGCAUUCGAUCUACGGAUGAAAGCGGGGGACCUUCGGGCCUCGCGCUAUAGGGUUGGCCGAUGGCUGAUUAGCUAGUUGGUGGGGUAAAGGCCUACCAAGGCGACGAUCAGUAGCUGGUCUGAGAGGACGACCAGCCACACUGGGACUGAGACACGGCCCAGACUCCUACGGGAGGCAGCAGUGGGGAAUUUUGGACAAUGGGCGAAAGCCUGAUCCAGCAAUGCCGCGUGUGUGAAGAAGGCCUUCGGGUUGUAAAGCACUUUUGUCCGGAAAGAAAUCCUUGGCCCUAAUACGGUCGGGGGAUGACGGUACCGGAAGAAUAAGCACCGGCUAACUACGUG